RNAcentral lists this long non-coding RNA (1320 nucleotides) under Marmota monax (woodchuck). Lineage: Eukaryota; Metazoa; Chordata; Mammalia; Rodentia; Sciuridae. The record is from RNAcentral.
GCUUGGAUGUGCUUUGUGGAUGCCCAGGGGCUCAAGGGACUGCAGAGCAAACCUGGAUCGUCCGCUGGGCCCCCGAGUGAUGAGUCCUCCUCUGGAGCUGCCCUGGCUCGGGUAGGCCCCCACCAGCACCUCCUCUGUCCCUCCUAGGCUGGAGCCAGGGUCUGGUUUCCAUGCUGGCUUCCUCUUCUCUUCUGUGCAUGGGACCAGCCCCUGCUUCUUCCAGGUGUCCCUGCACCAGCACUGACUACCUUCUCAGCGUGCUGCCAACACCUGAAUUUCCUGAGUAGGGAAAAGUCAUCCACUGUGCUGUAGUCACCUCAAGAGCCAGGGCCUGGGCCACCAGUGUGCUUGUGGCCAGGACUGCAAGGAGAUGCCACCAAAACACCUCCUCUUACGGUGAGAGGAAGGUAGUUGAGGGCAGAACUGGCCCUGGGGACAGAAGGCCACCUUAAGGGUAUGUUGGGCCACCCAGGCAGGACAUGGCCACCUAAGGGGCCAGGUGACCCAGGUGUGGUUUGGGGACUCCUGGGACUCCAGGGAAAUCCUCACCCCACAGGAAGAACAUGUUAUCAGCUCCCUGGUGGGGCUCACCCUCCACAUGGCUCAGCACCAGUAUUUUGUUUUAACAACGGAGCUGAAGGACACAGGCCCAAGUGCCCUUUAAGGAGUGCUUCUCCCUCAAAGACACAUGCUGUGUGACUGUCACACCCAUCAGCACCACCAGGCCCAGGAUCAUCUCUGCUUGAGGGUCCCCUGAAAUCUUCCCAGUGGCUCCACUUCCUCUGUCAAGGUCCAGGAGAGCACUGAAACCCUCCUGUCCAUCGGCCUGAGGCCCCUGCCCUCCAGACAGUGCUGGCAGAGACACUCUGUGGGUGUCUGAGAUAGUAAGAACAGAGUUGUGUCUCACAAACUGACUUCUUACCCUCGGGGCCGGGCACGUGUCUUGCUGGUGGAGUGUUCAGAACUUCCUGAGGAAGGACCAGCUUCUCUGGCGGGACCCCCAGGUCAACUGCAGCCUUCCUCUGCGGUUCCUGAUGGAGCCUGGCCAACGGCUCCCACUCACCCUCCCUCCGUUCACCCACCCACAGUUUAUUUCACACUGUGUCUUGGGUGCCCACUGGGUGCCAGGCACCAGGGCACUGGUUGUCACAGUGCUGCUCUGUCCACCGUGUUUGAAGAAUUCCGUGUUGCCCACAGGAGGGAGAGCCCAGGUUCCUGCCCGGGCUCUGCUGAGCUGGUGACCCUCCUAAGCUGCUCUGAUCUCCACCUCUCUGUCUUCUCCCACUCUCUGUCCCCUCAUCUUCCCACUCCCAUGGGAUU